AUUAACGCUGGCGGCGUGCAUAACACAUGCAAGUCGAACGAUGAAACUUAAAUGAAUUCUUCGGAAUGAUUUUAAUUGGAUUAGUGGCGAACGGGUGAGUAACGCGUGAGUAACCUGCCUUACACAAGGGGAUAGCCUCUGGAAACGGAGAAUAAUACCCUAUGAAACUAUCUUAUCGCAUGAAAAGAUAGUCAAAGUGUUUUAGCGGUGUAAGAUGGACUUGCGUCUGAUUAGCUAGUUGGUGAGAUAACAGCCCACCAAGGCAACGAUCAGUAGCCGGCUUGAGAGAGUGUACGGCCACAUUGGGACUGAGACACGGCCCAGACUCCUACGGGAGGCAGCAGUGGGGAAGUUUGCACAAUGGGGGCAACCCUGAUGCAGCGACGCCGCGUGAUUGAGAAGGCCUUCGGGUUGUAAAAAUCUUUUGUAUAGGAAGAAAAUGACAGUACUAUACGAAUAAGGUCCGGCUAAUUACGUG
RNAcentral lists this ribosomal RNA (478 nucleotides) under uncultured bacterium. Its description in RNAcentral is "partial 16S ribosomal RNA". It matches the Rfam family "Bacterial small subunit ribosomal RNA", at positions 29 to 507 of the family's 1533-position model. The record is from RNAcentral.